UACAGAGGUCUCAAGCGUUGUUCGGAAUCACUGGGCUUAAAGGGCGCGUAGGCGGGUCGGCAAGUCCGGGGUGAAAGCCCCCAGCUCAACUGGGGAAGGGCCUUGGAAACUGCCGGUCUUGAGGGAGGUAGGGGCCUGUGGAACUUCGGGUGGAGCGGUGAAAUGCGUUGAUAUCCGAAGGAACGCCGGUGGCGAAAGCGACGGGCUGGAUCUCUUCUGACGCUGAGGCGCGAAAGCUAGGGUAGCGAACGGG
Molecule: ribosomal RNA, 253 nt
Filed under: uncultured bacterium
Lineage: Bacteria
Description: partial 16S ribosomal RNA
Rfam family: Bacterial small subunit ribosomal RNA
Source: RNAcentral